RNAcentral lists this long non-coding RNA (416 nucleotides) under Gallus gallus (chicken). The record is from RNAcentral. Lineage: Eukaryota; Metazoa; Chordata; Aves; Galliformes; Phasianidae.
ACUGACCCCAUUUUGACCCCACUGACACUAUUGGGACCCCAUUGUCCCCCAUUGGGACCCCAUUGACCCCAUUAUCCCCCAUUGACCCCCACUGUGGGGCAUACAUAGGGCCGGGGCUGACCCCAUAAGGACCUCAGUGACCCCAUAGGGUCCUCAGUGACCCCAUAAGGACCACAGUGACCCCAUAGGGACCUCAGUGACCCCAUAAGGACCUCAGUGACCCCAUAGGGAUCUCAGUGACCCCAUAGGGACCUCAGUGACCCCAUAGGGUCCUCAGUGCCCCACAGCGGUGUGGGUGACCCCAUUGGGACGCGGUGACCCCAAAUGGUGCCGGCGGCCCCAUAAGUGUGGGGCGGUGCUGUGGGGCGGCUGUGGGGCGGCGCGCGGUGGUGGUGCGUAAUAAAGGAGUGAGUGCA